AAACUUCAGCUUAUUGACGAUCAGUUUGCAGCUGCUUAUCCUCAGCGUCCAGAAUCAGAAUCUUUAGAAAUGAAGUUAAAUGAAUACAAGAGAGAACUAGAACAGCAGCUUCGGGCAGAAAUGCGUCAAAAGUUCAAGUAUUUGAAAGAUACUGAAAUAGCCAAAAUUAAAAUGGAAGAGAAAAGAAAGUCGGAGAGGGAGUUAGCUGCGUUCCGGAACGAAUUGGAGAGAGCUCGUCAAGCAAAAUCUGAAUCCCUCCUUUCUCGGGAAAAGUUGGCUCUUGAGAGAAUUCAGAAGCACCGAGAGUUCCGAGUGUGCUCUUGGACGGGGCCGGGUACUCCGUGAGUCCUUGCCCAGCC
Long non-coding RNA from Suricata suricatta (meerkat), 359 nucleotides. RefSeq lists it as uncharacterized. The transcript has 3 exons. The record is from RefSeq and is a predicted model, not a curated record. NCBI's taxonomy places the organism in Eukaryota, Metazoa, Chordata, Mammalia, Carnivora, Herpestidae.